This is a non-coding RNA of Nomia melanderi (Alkali bee), 689 nucleotides long. Lineage: Eukaryota; Metazoa; Arthropoda; Insecta; Hymenoptera; Halictidae. The record is from RefSeq and is a predicted model, not a curated record.
UUCAUUUAAUUCCACGAACAUAAUGUGCUGUAUUUCUACCCAAGUAUAUACCAUGGUACUUGUGUCCAUGCUUAAUUCGUUGGUUUGAAUCGUAUUUACCAAUAUCAUAGCGCACCCUACUGAAAUGCGAUGAAAUCGGUAAGGCCGCGGAUUUCGAAUCUCAAGACUUCGGUCUAUGGUGUAAGGUGUUUACCGAAGUUUGUGAAACUACAAUGUACUUGGGGCGUUUCGUGAACAUGAAAUGCAGCUUUAGAACAAUUCUUCUUUUUAUACAAACUGCAAUUACCAUAUGUACUAUGCGAUGCGUACUCACUCGAGUCUCGAUCACCACCCACGUGCAAAUUAUUUCCGCGACGAUAUUAGAUUCGUCUACACGUAUAGAAACAUUUAAUAUUUAGAUGAAAAAAAGUUGAAAAGAAACACAUAUAUUUUGCUGUACCGACUGCUGUAAUCUGCUAGUACACUGGACCAUUUUGAUACACCAAGGUUUCUGAACUGUAGGCAGAAAGUUUGCAAACGAUCCCAUUCCAAGAGACGUCUCUAGCGAUGUUAACUCAUGCAAUUGAUUGGCAAGUAAGUUGAACGUUUUGCCGUGUGCGGCGUCGCGGUCAUUUUGAUCAGAUUCAUCGUCAUAUGCUACACAAUUAUGUAGGUUGAAUCGUUUAAAAGAAGAAAAAGAAACGGAAACA